Molecule: unclassified non-coding RNA, 274 nt
Filed under: uncultured fungus
Lineage: Eukaryota; Fungi
Description: sequence contains ITS2
Rfam family: 5.8S ribosomal RNA (bases 1-52)
Source: RNAcentral
AACGCACCUUGCGCUCCCUGGUAUUCCGGGGAGCAUGCCUGUUUGAGUGUCACGUGAACAUCUCCUGCCCCUUGAGGGUUUGUGAGGACUUGGAUGCUGCCGCUUUUUUGGCUCGUCUUGAAAUGCAUUAGCCUGUGCCUCUGAGCCGGACUCUGGCGUGAUAAGCAUCUACGCCGCCGCUUAGUUGUGGGCUCACAGCUGUCGGCUCACCCCUGACAUAUUAAAAUUUUAAUGCUCUGACCUCAAAUCAGGUAGGACUACCCGCUGAACUUAA